GGUUCCUCUGUUUCUUCGCCAUGAAACAACACGACCAAGCUUCUUCUUUCACGCCGUGCUCUGUAACUCAUCCGCCUCGCGGUGUGACAGUAAUAAAAAAAAAGCAAAAUUUACGUUUUAAGAACAGAGUAAUUUUGAGCUUGAAAUAGUGUCUUAAACCAUAUUUCUACAGGUUUAAAGGUAUAAUAAGCAAAAAAAACGAAAACAAACUGAUGAUUCAGGUGAGAAUAAUGGCUGGCGGCUAUAGAGAGAAAUUGCAGAAAACCCUAAACGAUUUUGGGGAAGAUGAAGUUAAAAUUACGAAAAUGCCACUAAUUAAAAAACGUAGAAAAAAAUGAUUCAUA
This 344-nucleotide long non-coding RNA is filed under the name Brassica rapa (field mustard). Its description in RNAcentral is "long non-coding RNA (BRAP_LNC002711)". Lineage: Eukaryota; Viridiplantae; Streptophyta; Magnoliopsida; Brassicales; Brassicaceae. The record is from RNAcentral.